GACGAACGCUGGCGGCGUGCUUAACACAUGCAAGUCGAACGGAAAGGCCUGCUUUCCCUUGUGGAUUGCGGGUACUCGAGUGGCGAACGGGUGAGUAACACGUGAGUGAUCUGCCCCCAACUUGGGUAUAAGCCUGGGAAACUGGGUCUAAUUCCCGAUAGGACUGCAGGGUGGUGCCUGUGGUGGAAAACGAUUUUCUAGUGGUUGGGGAUGAGCUCGCGGCCUAUCAGCUUGUUGGUGGGGUAAUGGCCUACCAAGGCGGCGACGGGUAGCCGGCCUGAGGGGGUGGCCGGCGAACUUGGGACUGGGCUACGGCCCAGACUCCUGCGGGAGGCAGCAGUAGGGGAUAUUGCGCAAUGGGCGGAAGCCUGCUGCCGCGACGCCGCGUGGGGGAUGACGGCCUGCGGGUUGUUAACUCCUUUCAACCGCGAGGAAGCCACCUGGUUGGAAGGGUGGUGACGGUAGUGGUAGAAGAAGCACCGGCUAACUACGU
This 493-nucleotide ribosomal RNA is filed under the name uncultured bacterium. Its description in RNAcentral is "partial 16S ribosomal RNA". It matches the Rfam family "Bacterial small subunit ribosomal RNA", at positions 28 to 506 of the family's 1533-position model. The record is from RNAcentral.